UGCCCAGGGGACGUGGAUAACCUCGGGAAACUGAGGAUAAACCGCGAUAAGUCAUUACUUCUGGAAUGGGUAAUGACUGAAAUCUACAUGGCCCCUGGAUUGGACUGCGGCCGAUCAGGCUGUUGGUGAGGUAAUGGCCCACCAAACCUAUAACCGGUACGGGCUCUGAGAGGAGGAGCCCGGAGAUGGGCACUGAGACAAGGGCCCAGGCCCUAUGGGGCGCAGCAGGCGCGAAACCUCUGCAAUAGGCGAAAGCCUGACACGNUUACUCUGAGUGAUUUCCGUUAAGGAGAUCUUUUCCACCUCUAAAAAUGGUGCAGAAUAAGGGGUGGGCAAGUCUGGUGUCAGCCGCCGCGGUAAUACCAGCACCCCGAGUGGUCGGGACGUUUAUUGGGCCUAAAGCAUCCGUAGCCGGUUCUACAAGUCUUCCGUUAAAUCCACCUUGCUUAACAGAAUGGGGCUGCCGGAAGAUACUAUAGAAGCUAGGAGGCCGGGNAGANGCAAAGCCGGNUACUCCGAUGGGCUAAGGGNUUAAAUUCUCGUUG
RNAcentral lists this ribosomal RNA (545 nucleotides) under uncultured archaeon. RNAcentral's name for it is "bacterial SSU rRNA". It matches the Rfam family "Archaeal small subunit ribosomal RNA", at positions 110 to 651 of the family's 1478-position model. The record is from RNAcentral.